GAAAAGAAACUAACCAGGAUUCCCUCAGUAACUGCGAGUGAAGCGGGAAAAGCUCAGACUGAAAAUCUUCGGAAUUGUAGUCUGGAGAAGUAUGGUCAGCCGAUAAUGAUGGGUAAAGUCUUCUGGAAAGGAGCGCCAUGGAGGGUGAUAGCCCCGUUCAUACCUAUUAUUAGAAGCGUACGACCUGCUUUCUACGAGUCGAGUUGUUUGGGACUGCAGCUCUAAGUGGGUGGUAAAUUCCAUCUAAAGCUAAAUAUUGGUGGGAGACCGAUAGCGAACAAGUACCGUGAGGGAAAGAUGCAAAGAACUUUGAAAAGAGAGUUAAAUAGUACCUGAAAUUGCUGAAAUGGAACCGAUGGGAGGCAGUGUCGGUGGCGGAUACUUGUAUCUGUCACAA
Molecule: ribosomal RNA, 397 nt
Filed under: Hemiselmis rufescens
Lineage: Eukaryota; Cryptophyceae; Cryptomonadales; Hemiselmidaceae
Description: partial Eukaryotic large subunit ribosomal RNA
Rfam family: Eukaryotic large subunit ribosomal RNA
Source: RNAcentral